RNAcentral lists this ribosomal RNA (555 nucleotides) under uncultured bacterium. RNAcentral's name for it is "partial 16S ribosomal RNA". The record is from RNAcentral.
GUAGUUAGCCGGGGCUUCCUCCUUGGCUACCGUCAUUUGUUUCGUCACCAAGGACAGAGGUUUACAAUCCGAAAACCUUCUUCCCUCACGCGGCGUUGCUGGGUCAGGCUUGCGCCCAUUGCCCAAUAUUCCCCACUGCUGCCUCCCGUAGGAGUCUGGACCGUGUCUCAGUUCCAGUGUGGCCGAUCAGCCUCUCAGCUCGGCUACCCAUCGCAGGCUUGGUGGGCUGUUAUCUCACCAACUACCUAAUGGGACGCGAACCCCUCCUUCAGCGGAUUGCUCCUUUGACCUCAUCCCGAUGCCGGGUCGUGGUCUUAUGCGGUAUUAGCACUUGUUUCCAGGUGUUAUCCCCCUCCUGAAGGUCAGGUUGUUCACGCGUUACUCACCCGUUCGCCACUAAAAUUUAAUACUUCCAUCCGAAAACUUACUGAUAAAAUACUCCGUUCGACUUGCAUGUGUUAGGUCACGCCGCCACGCGUCGUCUCUGCACGACGACGUAACAACUACGUACUACGUACGACGGACGGCGGUCGGACGGACGGACGACGACGAGAG